GCGGCACGACCGCCAGGAGCGAGCCGGGGAACCACCGCAGCACUGGGGUGAAUCCGCGUCAGCGGUAGGGCCUUCUUCCCGCCCGAAUCCGUCAGCUAACCCGGUAGGUGGCAUGCGCGGAAGA
RNAcentral lists this small RNA (124 nucleotides) under Actinoplanes sp. RNAcentral describes it as "c-di-AMP sequence". It matches the Rfam family "c-di-AMP riboswitch aptamer (ydaO/yuaA leader)". Rfam says of the family: This family represents a conserved RNA structure found upstream of the ydaO and yuaA genes in Bacillus subtilis and related genes in other bacteria. The ydaO/yuaA element is thought to act as a genetic "off" switch for the ydaO and yuaA genes in its native state. The record is from RNAcentral. Lineage: Bacteria; Bacillati; Actinomycetota; Actinomycetes; Micromonosporales; Micromonosporaceae. RNAcentral also lists the same sequence under 1 other name.